UGCACCGGGCUGGUGGCAACCUCUCCCAGAACGCGACUUAUCGCGUACGGUACGACGGUGAAUCGAGAUAAUACCGUAUCGUUAUUUCCAGAAUUAAUAGAUAUCACGUAUUAUAAUAUACAUAUACACGGCUAUAGGUAUAAGAUUUGGGUAACAUCUCGGUUAGGAAGAUCCUUCGGUUUUUAAGUUGUGACUUCAAAAAUUAGGUUUCGUUUACGAGUAGCCCUGAAAAUUUAGAUGCGAGUACUAGAUUGCAUCAUAUAACAGGCUGUAGGCUUGUAGGAAACACGGUAUAUCAGUUAUUGAGUUGAAUUAGGUAUUUCUUUAUGUAGGUAUAUGGUAUUCGAUGGAGUACCUCCAUAUUAUUUCCACUGUUAUAAGUAUCAAGUUUUAUUAGUCUACUGCGUGAAGUUGUUAUAAUGGAAUAAACUGGAAACAAAUAUGUUUGAAAAAGUGACAAGUUAUGAAGAACCGUGAACUCUGUGAAUUACAGGUGGUCUGACUGUUACAUUUUGAUUCCGUUCUAGAAAUUGAGGACCUUAUUUGAAGAAUAUGUUUCCACUACUGCUUACCUUCCUACUGAUAUAUUCUAGCUCUCAUCGAAU
Long non-coding RNA from Nilaparvata lugens (brown planthopper), 605 nucleotides. RefSeq lists it as uncharacterized. Lineage: Eukaryota; Metazoa; Arthropoda; Insecta; Hemiptera; Delphacidae. The record is from RefSeq and is a predicted model, not a curated record. The transcript is spliced from 3 exons.